This 8376-nucleotide long non-coding RNA is filed under the name Citrus maxima (pomelo). Its description in RNAcentral is "long non-coding RNA (CMAX_LNC000961)". The record is from RNAcentral. Lineage: Eukaryota; Viridiplantae; Streptophyta; Magnoliopsida; Sapindales; Rutaceae.
CCAUCUUUCUUCCAGUAGUUGGGCUUGUUGAUCCUGAUAAGUUGAAACCCGGUGAUCUGGUUGGAGUGAAUAAGGAUAGUUACUUGAUUUUGGACACACUGCCUUCUGAAUAUGAUUCGCGGGUGAAGGCAAUGGAAGUUGAUGAGAAACCAACCGAAGAUUAUAAUGACAUUGGAGGGCUAGAGAAGCAGGUAUGUUGAUGAUUCAUGCUUAAUAAUAUAAUACUGAGUGGUGAUUAUUUAUGCGAAUUAUCUGAUGUCUUUUUUUUGCAUUUGUCUGGUAUGACAGAUCCAAGAGCUCAUUGAAGCUAUUGUGCUGCCAAUGACACACAAAGAGCGUUUCCAGAAGUUGGGGGUUCGUCCACCUAAAGGAGUGCUUCUAUAUGGACCUCCCGGUACUGGGAAAACAUUGAUGGCUCGUGCUUGUGCAGCACAAACAAAUGCUACCUUUUUGAAGCUCGCAGGCCCGCAACUAGUCCAGGUAUGAUUUUCUUUUUCAUUCUCAAACUCAUUUUUCCUUUCAAGUAAAUAUAUUUUGGCACUUUUUUCGUGGCAAUUUGUAAUUUGUCUGGGAAUUAUUUGUUGUGUUCACUCUUCUAGAUUGCCCAUUAUUGGCUUACUAUGUCUCCAUUGAUCCAUUGAUAUUAACAGCUGGUGCUUAAUCAUUGAGAUCUUUGUAGUUAUGAUGCUUGCUAUUAUUUGUGUACUUACUAAUGAACUUACCUUGAGUAUGUAUAGAUGUUCAUUGGAGAUGGAGCCAAACUAGUUCGUGAUGCCUUUCAACUUGCAAAGGAGAAGUCCCCCUGCAUUAUUUUCAUUGACGAAAUUGACGCAAUCGGUACAAAGCGGUUUGACAGGUAAACCAUAUCUUUAAGUCAUUAUAUAACGUGCAAUCAAGUUGUUGUUAUUGGUGUGUGGGGGUUUAUUAUUGAGUUUUAUUCUUAAAUAGCCUCACUGUGACUGCAGUGAAGUGAGUGGAGACAGGGAGGUGCAGCGAACUAUGUUAGAGUUGCUCAAUCAGCUCGAUGGAUUUAGCAGCGAUGAUCGGAUUAAGGUUUGUGAAGGCUCAUACAUAUGCCAGAUUUUCUUAUUUACUCCCUUUAUGGUCGUCCAGACAUGAGUACAAGUUCUUUCAAGGUUUUAAUUCUUUUUGCAGUGUAAAUUUGAGUUCUUCAUGUGAGAGGGAUGGAAAUUUUGCUUAUCUAGGAUACUGUCUCUGACAUUUGGUGUUUUGUGACUAAAUGAACCGUAGUGUGGCACUUGGAAUUAGAUCAUCCCAUUUCUAUUUAGGGUGCUUGAUUUCGCUAACAAUAACUUCCUUUAAAUUUCAGGUCAUAGCAGCAACAAAUCGUGCUGAUAUCCUGGACCCUGCUCUUAUGCGAUCUGGCCGUUUGGAUCGCAAGAUCGAGUUACCACAUCCGAGUGAGGAAGCUAGAGCUCGCAUUUUGCAAGUAUGUCUCUUGGAAAUGCUUUCUUAAAUGAUUUUGUGUAUGUUGUAUUUUCUCUCGCAUUUAAAUUCUUAUCAUAUUUCCUUUUAUCGAUCCUGUAGAUCCAUUCGAGGAAGAUGACUGUUCACCCGGAUGUCAACUUCGAAGAACUUGCUCGAUCCACUGACGAUUUCAAUGGGGCACAACUAAAAGCUGUUUGUGUUGAAGCAGGGAUGCUUGCUCUUCGCCGUGAUGCGACUGAGGUACCCCUCUCUCCCCCUUCUGCCACAGAGUAGCGGGGCUUUAAGCUUUUUGAAGCAAAGCUAAUUUGAGUAUUUGGAUUGUUGUCUCAUAUAGGUCAACCAUGAGGAUUUCAAUGAAGGUAUCAUUCAGGUGCAGGCUAAGAAAAAGGCUAGCUUAAACUACUAUGCAUAGACACAUCCAAAGGCGAAGUUUUAGCCUCUACUUCAAUUGGUAAUUAAUAUAUUUUGGGUUGAAUAUUAAAAAAUGGGUAUUAAACAUUGUCUUUGUACUGUACAUAAUAUGUUAUAAUAAGAAGUGAAACUCCCAAGUCAGCCGCGUGAUAAUUUUUUUUAAUGUGAUGAAAGUCAAACUGUUACUCUUGAGAUAUUUUUACUCUUGUGUUAGAGGAUGUAUGUUGAUGGAAAGGAAAUGCGACGGUACCAUAUACGAGAGAGUUUUGCAAGUUUCACCGUGAAUUUGUUUGCAGCAAGAUAAUUGAUGAAUGAUUUUAGUUUUCUUUUUCCAGUACUGAGAUUUAUAUAUUGAUCAUCACCUGGCUUCAAUUACUCUCGCCAUGGCUUAGUCUAAUGAAUCGCGCCUAUCAAGACUGUUCUGUAUAACAAGACUAGCUCAAGUUAGGUUGGACAAACCUUUUUUGGAGUGUCUUUUUUUAAAUAAAUAGAUAAAUAAAUAAUAAUAAUAAUAAUAAUAAUAAUAAUAAGUGGAUAAUGUCUAGUGGAAACUUCUUGCUGAAGAUUUUACUGAAGUUAUAUAGCUAGUAAUGAUGAUGGAGCAUAUUAUAUUAGGGUCAUAUUAUUUUACAUAUUAUGUAACAUGCAAUAAUCUUUGAGUUAGUCACUUCAAAUUAAAAAGUCACAGCAUGUGAAACAAUUGAGUUAUUAUAGGUGAUAACUCAUGGCAUUUGCUAUGUCGUACAUGAUAGGUAACAUGGUUCACCCAUUAUAUUAUUGCCAUUUGCUUUAUUCUCUUAAAAAUGUGGGACACGUGCAAUGAUAUAAUUUGUUAUAUUAGCUUAUAACAACAAAAUUUGUACAAAAUUUUUUAUAUGUAUCAUUAUUAUUUAUAUAUAAACUUAAAAGGUAGCGUUGUUUUGAUAUAUUAUAAAACCUUUUAAUGUGUAGCAAAGAAUCAGUAUUUAUAUGAUGCGAUAUUUCGCUCAAUUGUUCAAUUAAUAAAGCACCAUCAAGCCAGUCGAAAGUGCAAGUAUUAAUUUCAAAUAAAAAGAAAAGAAAUUAUGCAUAAAUUUGUAAUCCCUUCACGAACUUUCUUUCAUGCAAUAUUAAUUUUUUUUCGGCCACCAAACAUGUGACAAUAUUUUUCAAGGCUUUGUUUAUAUGAAAUUUCUAUAGAUGCAAAAAUCUGAAAAAUCAAAAUUUUUAAUGCAUAACUAAACCUUAAACUACUAGUUACUAAUGAAAUUCCAGAAGGGAAAAAAAAAGUGAAUUAUUUAAAGAUAAUAAAAAAGAAAUAAAAGCACAAAUUUCACAGGAAAAAAAUUAAAUGUUCCAACUAAGGCAUCUGUUCCGAUAUCAUGAUUUUAAAAAACAUUAAACAGGACAUAACCAAACUCCAAAUCUCCAGUACAUGAUAUUAAUAUUUAUUAUCAGCGACAAAGUUUGCACAUUUUUUUAAGGUGAACUAAAAUUCUUUUAAUUACUGUACAUGGUUAGAGCGUAAAGAUAUUUUUGACUUUGCACUAUAAAAUAUAAAUAAAUUAUAACAAAAACAAACCCCAUGACCUUGCACAAUAAACAUUAAAAUAAAAAAAAGUAAUGAAAAUCUGUUCAUCGCCGUCUCUCUCUUCCUUCUCAUCUCUCAUUAAAACGUUAAAAUAAAAUUCUUAUUUCUUAAAAGUUAAAAUCAGAUAAUUUCUUCCUUUCAUCAUUUCCUCCAAAUUUGUAAAACAAGCGGCCCUCUUUUUCUUUAAACUUUGGAACCCUUAGUUGGUGCUACCCUCACAUCAAGACUUAAAAGUCCAUGUUCACCUCAUUUAACCAUCUAUGGUCAUCUUAUAUUGGCAGAUCCAACUCAUGGAGCCAUUAGUGCAGCUAAUUGCCAAUGCUAAGCCACCGUCGGUUUAUAAUUUUUGUUAUGUUAAAAAAAAUUUUAAUCUAGAGAAUUUUUUUUUUGUAAUUAACAAAAAAUUAUUUUUCAAAAAUCUUACUCUAGUUACAACUUGAGUUAGCCUCCCUUAGCUUCACCACACACCACUAUUUAUUAUUAAAUACAUUUGAAAAUUUUUAAACUUUAAAUUUAUUUAAUUAUUAAAUAAAUUAGUAAUACAUAAUUAGUUUAAAAUAUAUUUAUAUAUAUAAUUUUAUUUGUUUAUGUUUAAAAUUAUUUUUAUUUUUAUUUUUUUACUAUGUAAUCACUACUAUCCGGAAUUAAAGCCCAAGAUAGAAUUAGGAUAUUAUUCUAAAUUUUAAUUCCAAAUCUAAGAAGCACUAUAUAUGUGUGGGUAAAAUUAGGAAUAAAAUCCAAUGUCUUUAAAUUGAAAUGAAUUAGUAAAAAUUUUGAAGAUGAAUUAAAAGGUAUCUCCAGAUCAAUUCAUAAAAUUUUUACUAUUUUUUUUUUCAAUCAACAAAUCUGUAUACUGCACUAAUUGUAAUUAUUGAAAUAGAAUGAAGGCUAGAAAUAAAACACAGUUUAAGUUUUACGCGUUCCCGCCUCCUAAUUGCAAGUGCAUUGUUCCGGGACUUCCGGCAGAGGUUUACAAUGGUUGGAUUUUGGAGAGUUGGAUGAGUUGGGGCAAAGUUGUCAAUUCAUACAUUGUAAAAAUAACGGAAGCUAAAUUCCACCACUGUAAUAGAGGAAUCGCAAUUCCUCAAUCAACCGGAAGAUGAAUUUCAUUUGAAAGUAAAAUUCGGUUUAGUAAUGGUAACCAAAAAAGUGAAAUGACAACGGAGCUUGAAUUCUUUUUUCACCCAUCCUCUCGAUCCAACUAGACACUACCUUAAUAGUUGGCAAUAUCAACUUGAAAUAUUAACUUCCCAACGACGAAGUUUGAUUGCUCGACACUAACCACUCCUAAUGGUUGACAUAAUAUUAACUUCCCAACGAUACAUUUAGUUCUGAUUGCUUGACAACAAAAUUCUCCCACUCAAGUUGAGUCACUUAGUUAGAUUAGUUUCCUCCUAUGUCUUAAAAGUAAAUUAAAUAAACGAAACAAAGCAAAUUUAAGAAAACAAAAAAAGAAAAAAGAAAUGACAUGCGAGGAGAUAAUGAUUAUGAAUUUCUGAGAUAAUAAUUUUUCAUUGACCGUUUAUUAUUAACAAAAAAAAAUUAUAUUAGUGUGAGAAUCUUCAAACUCUAAGGGAAUCCAGAAAAGAAAUGCAUUUUUUUUUUCACGUGAAUUAUGCAUGUUAUAGAAAUAAAAAUGGUAUUCUUCUGCUACAUUUUACACAACUAUGGAGAAACAAAAAGAGAGUGAUACAAAUGACAAGAUUGAGUUGCAAAAUUACCACGUCAUUAAUGACUAAUAUUGUUUACGAGAAUUUCACAAUUUACAUGGAUGCAUUGCAAUUAGGAAAGUGUGACAUCAAUUGCAUACGGGCCCGUUUGGAAUUGGUUUUGGGAGGCUUAAAAGUAAUUUUGAAAAUUCAAAAGCUAAUUUUAGUAUUUGAUAAAAAAAAUCAAAAUCACAUUUGUCAAAGUCAACCCCUCUUACAAUUGAUUUUGAAAAGCAUGGAAAGAAUAUCUUUUAAAUUCUGAUUUUGAAAAUUAAUUUUAUCAUUUUAAUACAAUUUCAUAAACAUCCUUAAAAUUAUUACCUAAACUCAAAAGUAUCCUUAUUCAAAUUGGAAACAAAAUCAAUAUUUUAAUAAAUUUUUAUUGUAACUCAUCAGUAUAAAUUUAUUAAUAUCAAUUUAUUGGUCAAAUUAUUAUUUUUCACUAUAUUAUAAAUUUAAUUAUCAAUUGUUUUAAGAUAAAAAAAUAAAAAAAUUUGAUAUAUCAUAAAUUUUAUUUCUAGUAAAAAUUAUUAUAAUACACAAUUAAAAAUAUUAUAAGUACGUAUUUUUAUAUGUAUAAGUAAAUUUUAUUUUACAUUAUGUACAUUUUAGUCAUUUGUUUUAUUUCAGUAAUUUAACAGUAAAAUUUACCAAACGUCCAUAACUGCUUUCAAAACUCACAGUACUUCUAAAAACAAAAUUUACCAAACAUUUAGCUGAUUCUCUUUAUAACUGAUUAUUUUUACAGCACAAGUAAUAUCAAUUAUUUUAGAAGUUACAGCAUUCCCAACCUAGCCCUAUGUUCCACAUGAUAUUAUAAAUUCUUUAUGAUUAUUUGUAAGGAUAGAUCAAUAAAAAUACGGGUAGCCACAUGCAAGCGAUACUUUGUUUUGUUUAGUUUAUUUUUUCUAAAUUAAUUCUUUCCUGAACAUAUAGUAAUUCCCUAAAAUAGUAUCAACAAAAAUCAAUAAUUUUAACUUAUUUAGAACUUUUUGAAUUUUUAUUUAUUAUGUAAAUACAAUAUUUUGUCAAACAUUUAAAUUAUAAGAUUUAAUUUUUCUAAUUUGAGCAUUUUUUAUUAGUUAUUUGUACUUUUUCUAUUAAAAUUUGAUAGCAUAUCUGUUUAAAUUUUUAACAACAACAACAACAACAAUAAUAGUAAUAGUAAUUUUCUAAUGUAUUGAAAUACAUUAAAACAAAGUAAGGAUAUUAAUAACUGACAAAAAUAUAAAUUUUAAAAAUAUAUUGAAAUAUAUAUUUUUUUAUAUUUUAGUGGUAUCGUAACCUUAUAUAUAUAUAUAUAUAUAUAUUAAAAUACAAGAAAAAUCUAAGAAAAUUAUAAAAUUAUAAAAUUUAAGAAUUUUAAAACUCAAAAUAUUUAAACCGCACGAUUUACUGUUUUUUUAGACUUUCCCUCACUUUAAUAUGAGCUCUCUUUGUUAUCAAUAAAAUUUCGCGUUUUUUGAUUUCACUAGGCGCCGUAAUUUUCCGUUCGAGUCAGAUUCCAAAGCCCAAGCCCAGGCCAAUUUUAUAAUUCCUUGCACUCCAUAUAAGCGGCAUUCAACCUCUCCGUUUCUUCGGUAACAAGUUGGAGUUUUUAACUUUGAGUCACACUCUUAUCUCUCUUUUAUUUUCUCGGUGCAAAUUUUGUGUGGAAAAAUAAUCAUAUGGCGACGGCAAUGGUGGAAGAUCCCAACUUGGAAGACGAUCAACUGUCUUCCAUGACGGCCGAUGAUAUUGUUCGGGCGUCGCGGCUACUCGACAACGAGAUUCGUGUCCUAAAGGUAACAGAUCUUUACAUUUUUUUUUUAAACACUAACACUUAAUUUUGAAGGGUUUUAUUUGUUCGCUAGUUUUGCACUAGGUACCUGAAAUUUGUUGAUUUUGUGAUAUUGUUUUGGGUGGGGUUUAGGAAGAAUUACAAAGAACGAAUCUUGAGUUAGAUUCGUUCAAGGAGAAGAUUAAGGAGAAUCAAGAGAAGAUUAAACUCAAUAAGCAGCUUCCUUACUUGGUGGGCAACAUCGUUGAGGUAAUUUUUAGUUAAAAAAUUCCUACAUUUUCCCAAUUUUGGCAAUGAUUUAAUUAUUAUCUACGGUCGUAUGAGUAAAGCUAGAAGCUUUUUAUUUGAGCUUAUUAAUUUUGCGAAAAGGUAAUUUUUUUUUUAAUAUCAAUGCAGUUACUGAAAAAUGUUUUGUGUGUGGUUUUAAGCUGAUUUAUUUGAGUAUAAGUGCAAGCUUCAGUAUUAAUCUUUUUCAUGUGUUUAGAUUUUGGAGAUGAACCCAGAGGAUGAGGCUGAGGAAGAUGGUGCUAACAUUGAUCUUGACUCGCAAAGGAAGGGUAAAUGUGUAGUGUUGAAGACUUCUACUCGUCAGGUGAGCUGCGCAUUCUUAAAUUGUGCGUGUUCGUGUAUGUAUCAGUAGAGCAUGUCCAUGUUCAUUAGCUGAUUUGUGAUUAUUGUUAUUUCUUUAAACUGUCUCUGUUUUGUUGUUUGGAUAUGAACUUCCUGUUGAAGCCUUAAUUUUGACACCAAUGUGCAACUGUAUCGACUUUGGAUUGCAGACCAUCUUUCUUCCAGUAGUCGGGCUUGUUGAUCCUGAUAAGUUGAAACCCGGUGAUCUGGUUGGAGUUAAUAAGGAUAGUUACUUGAUCCUGGACACACUGCCUUCUGAGUAUGAUUCUCGGGUGAAGGCAAUGGAAGUUGAUGAGAAACCUACUGAAGAUUAUAAUGACAUUGGAGGGUUGGAGAAGCAGGUCAGUUUCUCGUUCAUGCUUUAUAAUAAGACUUGGUGGUGGUUGUUUAUGCAAAAAAAAAUCUGAUGUCUUAUACUUUUAUCUGGUUUUUAUUGUGACAGAUACAAGAACUUGUUGAGGCUAUUGUGCUGCCAAUGACACACAAAGAGCGUUUCCAGAAGUUGGGGGUUCGUCCACCUAAGGGAGUGCUUCUAUAUGGACCUCCCGGUACUGGGAAGACGUUGAUGGCUCGUGCUUGUGCAGCACAAACAAAUGCUACAUUUUUGAAGCUCGCAGGCCCACAGCUUGUCCAGGUAUGAUUUUCAUAUCUCAAACUGUUUCUUUUUGGUAAAUAUAUUGAGUACUUUCUGCAUGGCAAUGUGUAAUUUAUAAGUGUUUGCGUCUACUCUUUUAGAUUGCCAUUAUUGGCUUACAAUAUGUCAUUUCAUGCAUUGAUUUUGACAGCUGGUGCUCUAUCAAUGUAAUGUUUGUAGUAUGAUGUUUGCU